This is a long non-coding RNA of Zootermopsis nevadensis, 317 nucleotides long. RefSeq lists it as uncharacterized. The record is from RefSeq and is a predicted model, not a curated record. NCBI's taxonomy places the organism in Eukaryota, Metazoa, Arthropoda, Insecta, Blattodea, Termopsidae.
GCUUUCAACUGGUGAGGAAUAGAUGAAAGGAAGAUAUGAAGAUUUACCUGAUGGAUGUAGGUUGUGAUCAUGGGAGACGAGUGGAACUAGUUUUGUAACAUGUCCAACGGUGGACUUUGGUAUUGGUGGCGUUGAACCUUCGGGUGUAUUAACAGGAAGUCUAAAAGAAAGGAAGAAAGUGUUUCUGCAACCAAGCUACAUAUCCAGCCAAUUAUAAAUGCCUUCAUUAAACUACGUUCAUAAUUCUAUGAAUAUGAAGAAAUUGUCAAGUUAUGAGACAGCCACAAAAGACGACCUGAGAUGAGCUCCUGGCCGCC